This 312-nucleotide ribosomal RNA is filed under the name uncultured Glomus. Its description in RNAcentral is "SSU rRNA". It matches the Rfam family "Eukaryotic small subunit ribosomal RNA", at positions 569 to 886 of the family's 1831-position model. Lineage: Eukaryota; Fungi; Glomeromycota; Glomeromycetes; Glomerales; Glomeraceae. The record is from RNAcentral.
AGCAGCCGCGGUAAUUCCAGCUCCAAUAGCGUAUAUUAAAGUUGUUGCAGUUAAAAAGCUCGUAGUUGAUUUUCGGGAUCAAUUUAUUGGUCGUGCUAUUGUACGUACUGGUAUUAUUGAUUCCUACCUUCUGACGAACCAUGAUGUCAUUAAUUUGGUGUCUUGGGGAAUCAGGACUGUUACUUUGAAAAAUUUAGAGUGUUUAAAGCAGGCUCACGCUUGAAUACAUUAGCAUGGAAUAACGAAAUAGGACGUUUGAUUCUAUUUUGUUGGUUUCUAGGAUCGACGUAAUGAUUAAUAGGGAUAGUUGGG